GGCCAUUGCCGAGGGAAAACCGGGUAGAGGCUGGGUGUCGUUAAGGUCUGCGGCGUACUCCAGGCACUCUGUCAUAAGCUCGGUGUAGCCCGCCGCCUUACACUGGAGAAGCCUCCUCACGUGCCAGGUCUGUUCCACGUGCACUCUCCGUGCAUCUGUAAGCUAGCUCUCCAGGAAACUAAACGGCCAACAGCAAGACAGGUCAGCGCAUGCGCACCAGCAACAUCGAGGUCAGCGCGUCCCCGCUCGUUCUUGUGUGUGUAUGGAGAUAGAGGGAGAAAUGUCAACAACAGUGAUAUCCAUCCAGAUGGUAAAGUUUGCCGAUGAAGGCACGGAGGUGGAUCCCAUGGUAAUGUGGUGCAGUAAAACAAAAAAAAAAAAGAUCGACAGCUCCAUGUGUCUAAGACCAAGGAGACAAAGUUCACCACCGCAGGACCUCUUAUAGUCAACCGCGAGGCCACUGAGCAGGUUGAUCAUUUCAGGUUCCUAGAAACCACCAUCUCGAAUGACCUCAGCUGGGAAAACAAAGUGGUGUCGAUUCUCAAGAAGGUCCAGCAACACACUUUACUUUCUACGUGGCCUGAUAAAUUUCGACCUUAGGGACAUCCUAAGGUCCAGUUUUACCGGGUAGUGAUAGAGAGUGUACUGACAUUUUCAAACCACCGUGUGGUACAGCAGCAUCACCCAGAGGCAGAACUCAUUUAGCAUAUCAGGUUUGGGGUAGGAGACAAACAGAUGGCUGCAUGACCCGCACACACCUGCCUGACAACUGACAGAGACUUGUACACUCGUUUGCCUUUUAGGGAUUUUUGGUGGUGAAGGCUGAGUUCAUAAUGCAUAUGUUAAAGAACGGUACGAAAAGAGACAAACAAUUUAGUCAAAACAAAAAAGAAGACAUCUUGAUCAUCAAAGUUUUUUUUUAUUCCAUUGUAAGCAAACUGGGUUGUUUGUUUGUUUGUUUUUUGUUUUUGUUUUUGUUUUUUUGUUUUUUGCAAAGAUAAAGCAUUGUUUUUAGAUAAAGAUAAAGCAUUGUUGCUAUAAUUUUCACCGAUCUCUGAAAAUAGCUAAAAUCAUUGCUAAUGAACGUUUUACAGGAGCUUCUAUUUUACAGUUAUUUAGCAUUCUAGGUCAUUGCUUUCCCCUAGCUUUCUGAUGGAGGACAAUAGAUAAAUCGAAAACCAGGUAAAUUUUCUAACACCUACGGUAUGAUGUCAACUGGAAAUCAAGCCACACUAAAAAAAAAAUAAAUAAAAAAACCUUGCUCUCUGAAUAAUUCUAUCAAUGCAUUGUUUGUCUUCCAUUCCUGCUCAACCCUUCGUUAUUUCGUCAUCGAUGAAUCUGGCAGUCCAUUGUUUGGAGCGUGAAAUACGUGGCAAUACUGGCAGGACGUGCUUUUUGUCUACAAAAGAUAACCGUGGCCACUUGACCCUGAAAAUACCACGCAAGCGACAGAUAAGUGGAUAUGAUUUUGAGGGAUUUUUUGCCCAUCAAACCGAUUCAUUGACGGUUGGCUGACGGGAAGCGAGGGAGUGAGAUGCCAGCGAGACCUUCACCUCGCCCCCGACUGAACUGAUGGUGUCCUUCCGGCCACGCGCGAGACCUCUUCCGCGUACUUACUUCUUCCGCGUGGCCUCAAGUGCCCAUGACAUACUCCCUCCAAAACCUAGGGGACUUUCAAACUCAAAACUAUUUUUCUGGCAUGAAUAUGUAGGUUAGUAAACUAUUAAAAGACACGCACAAAAACGUGGCAUAUUGCAUAAGCCUUGAUUGCAGUAUGACCGAUUGCAAGAAACACUUACGUCGUGUAACAGCAUACAUCACGAAUCCCAUGUAUCAUUAGCUUCUAAUGUGUCCCUUAAAUAAAAAAUAAAAGGUCUUAUCACUUGUUUUAAUUCGUGUUAAUUAUAAUCGUUUUAUGAAUAGCCAAUAAGAAAGAACUGGUUUAUAGAAUCAGUUCCUGUAUUCCUGUUUGAUUCCUGUAGCGUGCAUGUUCUCCUAGCGUCCACUGAGUAGCCCAAAGUAAAUAAACAAAUAAUCGAGAAAGUUUUAAAUUAAUAAUAAGUUCGUAAGCACGCCAUUUUAUAACCUUUCACAUUAGAAUCGCUCAUCUAGUUCCUCUAGCACUUGUUAAAAACAUCUUUAACUGCUAGUGUCGCUAUCUGUGGUGAACUUCGCACUCUUGUAGCACCCGGCUGAGAGACAUCCCUUCCUUUCCCUGCUUGUUUCUCGGUGCAUUUCAUGGAGUUAGACAAAUCAGCCGUUGUUUCUCAGUCCGGAUAUGCCAUACGAGGCUGCCCCAGCCGCAGACAACGGAUGUCUGUUCUUGGCAUCGUUUCCAAGAAGUGACCCCAAAGCCAGAAUGUAGCGGAUACCUAUCUUCCAUACCUUUAGGCAUCCGAGUGCCAGGCUUCCUUCAAUUCGUGAAGGAAUCUCCGUUUACUUCUCUUGUGUGAUCGGUUCAUCUCUUUCUCUCUCUCUCGCUGUCUCAAAUUCAAACAUGCUGUCGCAAGAACACCUUUCACCAAAACAACAACAGGAUCUUUAGUUAUCGUGCUGCUAAACAAUGGAAUUUUCUCCCCUUCCAUAUCCGCCACCUAUCCAACAUUGAAUCUUUGCACUGUAAACGCAUCUCAUGCUUGAACAUUACUCCUGACAACAGUCCACAGAAAGCUACUCCAUCCUUUUUCACACGCGCUAUGGUAAAUGUGAAAUUCUUAAUUUCAUAGAAAUCAUAUGAAGUGAGCGGUAAAAUGUGUUCUCUGGGUUUAGUUAGACCAUACAACAUAACUGUCUCUUUGCAUGGUUUAUGUCCAGCAGAAGAAUGAAAACCAAGACCAUCGCUAGCUGUUCAGAAGCAAAGGUUGAAAUCUCUCGUUCUUAAUGUGUGUGUGUGUGUGUGUGUGAAAAUUCUUUUGUAUAUUAUGCUCACAUAAAUUAUACGAUAAUCACCCCAUGGGCAAUAAGGAAUGGCUUUACAAUGAAGAAAUCUCUCUCCGUCAUGUGCUCAGGAGGAGAAUAAAAUUUUAUAAGACGUUGAUGAUAAAUUUCUUUUUCGGUAUCUUCGCCUCUACCACCACCAUCUGCACACAUUAGCCACUUAUC
RNAcentral lists this long non-coding RNA (3102 nucleotides) under Pomacea canaliculata. RNAcentral describes it as "uncharacterized LOC112565307". The record is from RNAcentral. Lineage: Eukaryota; Metazoa; Mollusca; Gastropoda; Architaenioglossa; Ampullariidae.